UACAGAGGAUGCAAGCGUUAUCCGGAAUGAUUGGGCGUAAAGCGUCUGUAGGUGGCUUUUUAAGUCCGCCGUCAAAUCCCAGGGCUCAACUCUGGACAGGCGGUGGAAACUACCAAGCUGGAGUACGGUAGGGGCAGAGGGAAUUUCCGGUGGAGCGGUGAAAUGCGUAGAGAUCGGAAAGAACACCAACGGCGAAAGCACUCUGGGACGGUACUGACGCUGAGACGCGAAAGCGUGGGUAGCAAACAGG
RNAcentral lists this ribosomal RNA (250 nucleotides) under uncultured bacterium. RNAcentral's name for it is "partial 16S ribosomal RNA". It matches the Rfam family "Bacterial small subunit ribosomal RNA", at positions 524 to 776 of the family's 1533-position model. The record is from RNAcentral.